Molecule: long non-coding RNA, 687 nt
Organism: Dermochelys coriacea (leatherback sea turtle)
Lineage: Eukaryota; Metazoa; Chordata; Testudines; Dermochelyidae
Exons: 2
Source: RefSeq, a predicted model, not a curated record
UCUGCUCACUGCAGCACAGCUGAAAAGAAAAAAAUUCUUUAAGAUUGUUAUGGGAGGCCUUGAACAGAAAAAGGGCUACAGAAUUGGCUUCAGAUACAGAGUAUUGUUCCACUCCACACUGACUAACCAAAUGGGACCAGCAACCCUCUUUCAGCAUUCAUUGAAGAACAAGAGUGCAUGUACAGUAUGAAGCUAUGAUUCUCAUACGUGCUCUUCAAGUUUAGAACUAAAGUAGUCCACCUAUCUGCUAGGAUGCAUUGCUUUGAAGAGAAAAUCUUUAAAAAAUGUAGACUGUUUUCUCAUAUGGAGGUUUGUUUUGUUUUUUUGGUUCUCCUUGAUGGAAAAAGACUGCAAGUAUCUAUUUGCCACAACAGAAAAUAAAAAAAAGGCUGCUGUUAUUCCCACUCUGGACACCAGAUGGUAUUGCAAAGUAUGAAACAAAUGCCAAGACAUCCCCACCUCUUUCUUUGAAUCCAGGUUUACCGCCAGCAGAAUAGAAUUGAAAGCCAACCAGAUAAUCGCAUUUUCAAAGACAUAGAAGGCAGCAUAUUCAGGAUAAGGUUACAUACAGCUACCACAGAUCAAACAAGAUAGGUAGGGUGACCAUAUUUGACAAAAAACAGUGAGCAUUUGUCCUGUUGCUCGGAUCAAGUUUGCAAGAGCAAACGGGACAAAUACUCAUUUUUG